ACUCCUACGGGAGGCAGCAGUAGGGAAUCUUCCACAAUGGGCGCAAGCCUGAUGGAGCAACACCGCGUGAGUGAAGAAGGGUUUCGGCUCGUAAAGCUCUGUUGUUAAAGAAGAACACGUAUGAGAGUAACUGUUCAUACGUUGACGGUAUUUAACCAGAAAGUCACGGCUAACUACGUGCCAGCAGCCGCGGUAAUACGUAGGUGGCAAGCGUUAUCCGGAUUUAUUGGGCGUAAAGAGAGUGCAGGCGGUUUUCUAAGUCUGAUGUGAAAGCCUUCGGCUUAACCGGAGAAGUGCAUCGGAAACUGGAUAACUUGAGUGCAGAAGAGGGUAGUGGAACUCCAUGUGUAGCGGCGGAAUGCGUAGAUAUAUGGAAGAACACCAGUGGCGAAGGCGGCUACCUGGUCUGCAACUGACGCUGAGACUCGAAAGCAUGGGUAGCGAACAGGAUUAGAUACCCUGGUAGGAUAGCC
Molecule: ribosomal RNA, 473 nt
Filed under: uncultured bacterium
Lineage: Bacteria
Description: bacterial SSU rRNA
Rfam family: Bacterial small subunit ribosomal RNA
Source: RNAcentral